Molecule: transfer RNA, 72 nt
Filed under: Toxocara canis (dog roundworm)
Lineage: Eukaryota; Metazoa; Nematoda; Chromadorea; Rhabditida; Toxocaridae
Rfam family: tRNA
About the family: Transfer RNA (tRNA) molecules are approximately 80 nucleotides in length. Their secondary structure includes four short double-helical elements and three loops (D, anti-codon, and T loops). Further hydrogen bonds mediate the characteristic L-shaped molecular structure. tRNAs have two regions of fundamental functional importance: the anti-codon, which is responsible for specific mRNA codon recognition, and the 3' end, to which the tRNAs corresponding amino acid is attached (by aminoacyl-tRNA synthetases). tRNAs cope with the degeneracy of the genetic code in two manners: having more than one tRNA (with a specific anti-codon) for a particular amino acid; and 'wobble' base-pairing, i.e. permitting non-standard base-pairing at the 3rd anti-codon position.
Source: Rfam by way of RNAcentral
CGGGCAAUCGCUUAGCGGUAGAGCUCCCGCUUCGUAUGCGGGAAGACCUGGGUUCGAUUCCCGGCUGCCUCU